AUUAGCUAGUUGGCGGGGUAAUGGCCCACCAAGGCUACGAUGGGUAGCCGGCCUGAGAGGGUGACCGGCCACAUUGGGACUGAGAUACGGCCCAGACUCCUACGGGAGGCAGCAGUAGGGAAUUUUGCGCAAUGGGCGAAAGCCUGACGCAGCAACGCCGCGUGAGGGAUGAAGGUCUUCGGAUUGUAAACCUCUGUUGAGUGGGAAGAAACGCAUUAUGGCUAAUAUCCAUAGUGCCUGACGGUACCAUUCGAGGAAGCCCCGGCUAACUACGUGCCAGCAGCCGCGGUAAUACGUAGGGGGCAAGCGUUGUUCGGAAUCACUGGGCGUAAAGGGAGCGUAGGCGGAAAUUCAAGUCAGAAGUGUAAUCCAUAGGCUCAACCUGUGGUUCGCUUUUGAUACUGCUUUUCUUGAGUAUUGGAGAGGGAGACGGAAUUCCAGGUGUAGCGGUGGAAUGCGUAGAUAUCUGGAAGAACACCAGUAGCGAAGGCGGUCUCCUGGCCAAAUACUGACGCUGAGGCUCGAAAGCGUGGGGAGCAAACAGGAUUAGAUACCCUGGUAGUCCACGCUGUAGACGAUGGACACUAGAUGUCGGACCCGUUCGCGGGAUCGGUAUCGUAGCUAACGCAUUAAGUGUCCCGCCUGGGGAGUACGCUCGCAAGGGUGAAACUCAAAGGAAUUGACGGGGGCCCGCACAAGCGGUGGAGCAUGUGCUUUAAUUCGAUGCAACGCGAAGAACCUUACCUGGGCUUGACAUGGGAGUGAAAGUUACCAGAGAUGGAGGCCUUUCCUUCGGGAACACUCUACACAGGUGCUGCAUGGUUGUCGUCAGCUCGUGUCGUGAGAUGUUGGGUUAAGUCCCGCAACGAGCGCAACCCUCGUCCUUAGUUGCCAUCAGGUAAAGCUGGGAACUCUAAGGAGACCGCCUGGUUUAACCAGGAGGAAGGUGGGGAUGACGUCAAAUCAUCAUGGCCCUUACGUCCAGGGCUAGACACGUGCUACAAUGGGUGGUACAGUGGAUGCAAGACUGCGAAGUCAAGCUAAUCCCUUAAAACCAUUCUCAGUUCAGAUUGGAGUCUGCAAUUCGACUCCAUGAAGGUGGAAUCGCUAGUAAUCGCGGGUCAGCAUGCCGCGGUGAAUAUGUUCCCGGGCCUUGUACACACCGCCCGUCAAGCCAUGAAAGAUGGCAGUACCCGUAGUCGUCUCUCUAACCGCAAGGUGGAGGACGCCUAAGGUAAGGCCGUUGAUUGGGGCUAAGUCGAAACAAGGUA
This 1271-nucleotide ribosomal RNA is filed under the name metagenome. RNAcentral describes it as "bacterial SSU rRNA". It matches the Rfam family "Bacterial small subunit ribosomal RNA", at positions 240 to 1498 of the family's 1533-position model. The record is from RNAcentral.